UACGUAGGAUCCGAGCGUUAUCCGGAUUUAUUGGGUUUAAAGGGUGCGUAGGCGGUUUGAUAAGUUAGAGGUGAAAUGUCGGGGCUCAACCCUGAAACUGCCUCUAAUACUGUUGGACUAGAGAAUAGUUGCGGUAGGCGGAAUGUAUGGUGUAGCGGUGAAAUGCUUAGAGAUCAUACAGAACACCGAUUGCGAAGGCAGCUUACCAAACUAUAUCUGACGUUGAGGCACGAAAGCGUGGGUAGCAAACAGG
RNAcentral lists this ribosomal RNA (253 nucleotides) under uncultured bacterium. RNAcentral's name for it is "partial 16S ribosomal RNA". It matches the Rfam family "Bacterial small subunit ribosomal RNA", at positions 524 to 776 of the family's 1533-position model. The record is from RNAcentral.